AACGACUCUCGACAACGGAUAUCUCGGCUCUCGCAUCGAUGAAGAACGUAGCGAAAUGCGAUACUUGGUGUGAAUUGCAGAAUCCCGUGAACCAUCGAGUCUUUGAACGCAAGUUGCGCCCGAAGCCAUCAGGUUGAGGGCACGUCUGCCUGGGUGUCACGC
Molecule: ribosomal RNA, 162 nt
Filed under: Prangos goniocarpa
Lineage: Eukaryota; Viridiplantae; Streptophyta; Magnoliopsida; Apiales; Apiaceae
Also listed under: 2 other names
Description: 5.8S ribosomal RNA
Rfam family: 5.8S ribosomal RNA
About the family: 5.8S ribosomal RNA (5.8S rRNA) is a component of the large subunit of the eukaryotic ribosome. It is transcribed by RNA polymerase I as part of the 45S precursor that also contains 18S and 28S rRNA.
Source: RNAcentral